UUUUCAAAAUCAAUUCAAGUCAAAAUCUAAAAGAAAGGUGUGGCUGAAUAUGCAGCAAACCAUUGCAGAGCUUACAAGAACAGAGCAUAGCAUGCUCUGUUUGUAGUUUGAACUCUGAAGUGUAGGAGAAGGAGAGAGAGAGAGAGAGAGAGUCAAACAAUGGCACACAAAACCCUCUUCAAACCAAGUCUCAUCCUCACACUCAGACUCAACAAAACGGCCAUUUCAUUCUCACACCAUCAUCCAUUUCGCCACUCGCAACCACCCUUUCCCUUCCUCAACACUAGUCCAAUCUCACUUCCUCCAACAACGAGAAUUACUAACUACACCCACUUAUGGUGCUCUAAUUACACCACCGUCAGCACCAUCGAGGAGGGUUCCGAAAAAUGCUACCUGAACCUCUCGGACGAGGAGCUCAUGCGGCAGUGCGAAAUGGACACGUUUAAGGCCUCGGGACCAGGUGGUCAGCACCGUAACAAGCGUGAGUCCGCAGUGCGCCUCAAACACCUACCCACAGGAAUCAUUGCUCAGGCUUCAGAAGAUCGCUCCCAGCACAAGAACCGCGCUUCAGCGAUUAAUCGCCUUCGCUCUCUUAUAGCUCUCAAAGGAAAACAGUGGAUCUUGAAGCUUAUUCACCACCUCGAGAGCUUCUUCAGAUAUUGCCUCCUAAAUCAUCCAUUAGAGGGUCAGAUUGUGGUUCACAAAUCGGACCUAAUAAUCCAAAGUUUGCAUCGGGAAUGCAAGCUCUUUUGGAUCUCAUUUUUGCAGUUGAGGGGUCUGUCUCAGAAGCUGCAAAAUAUCUUGGGUAUUUGAUAUAUGCUUAAAGUUAUCCACUGGGGCACUGUCUCGGUUAAUCCUAUCUGAUGAUUCACUUAGAAAGGAAGUAAACGAUCUGCGGGCAACAAAGGGUAUGAAGCCUCUCAAGUAGAAGCACUCAACUUUUCAUUCCUUAUGCAGAAGAAAAUUCUUUGAACCUGUAUGAGGCAUUUUCUUCAUUAAAGAAUUGAGGUAGACAAUGAAAAAUACCGAAGCUAUUGACAAGAAAGGGGGCAGGUUGCUGAAUUUUCAGAUUGUAGAGAACUCAUUCUACAAAACUCAAUGAGUAUGUUGUAGAAAGCUGGUGCCUUAAGGUGUACUAGAGGAGCAUUGAUUGAGAUCACAACCAAAAAUAGAAGAUGCAUUUUUCUGUAGAUCUUUUCAAACAAAAUAAAUUUCUUGGUUUUCUGGCUCUGUAUACAGUUUUUUAUUUUUUUUCUUGUUUAUGCCAAACAUCAAAUUAAGUUUGACAACGUGAGAUACAGGAUGCAGAUAUUUGUAGCUUUUAUUUUUUUUUUAAAAAAAUUAUAUUUAUCAAUUUCUUGAUUUUUUUA
Molecule: RNA transcript, 1370 nt
Organism: Glycine soja
Lineage: Eukaryota; Viridiplantae; Streptophyta; Magnoliopsida; Fabales; Fabaceae
Exons: 7
Source: RefSeq, a predicted model, not a curated record